GCGCUAACCUAUACGAGGACAUUCUGUUUUGGAAAGAACCAAAAUAUCUAAACAAACAUUGAAAGUGCAACUAUUAAUCAAUCAGCUCUACUUUUCUCGAUUAAUUUCGGGAGUGUCAGCAAAGAUUGGGGUCAUUAACCCCAUCGGGUACAUGUGAUCUGCAAUAAAUCCAUGGAACAAUAUGUUACUACUGAAACACGAAAUAAUUGAAAUCUUAGAUUCAUGUCUUCGCACCCAUCCUUCCUUCUUUGUUGUCUACUCAAAUCAACAAUAAAAUCGACGAACACAGAGAUUAAUUAAAAGAAUAAAAGCUUACAAAACCAUAAAUAAUGUACAAUAUAACAAGAUUAACCACCCAGACAAGCGCAAUAGCACACAUAUGCAUAUAAUCUCGUAAAAUAAAUUCAUGAUCUAUGAAGAAAUUAUUGAUUUUCUUGAGUACUAACAUAAUUAUACUGCAUAAAAAUGUAAUUUCCAGACACCAGAGGAAACUUCAUUGAAUUCUUACUAAAAGGGAACCUGGGACGCAAACAGAGAGGGAAUACAUACACUAGAAAAGGAUAUCUAAUACUAUAAUUCAACUUCUUCUAAAAGCUAGCUUUAAUUCUAUUUUUCAUGUUCCCGAAGGCACAGUAGAAGCAUUAAAAUUGUUACAUAUCGUUACACAUUGAGAAGCCUCCCCGAGAAUCAAUAUUGUGAAUCAUUUUUUUUUGCAAAACAAUAAUUUGGAAAGUUGAAUGGAGUAAGUUUCUGCAUAUUUAAGCAACGACAAUAGAUGAUCAACUUACGGACUACUCAGUAUUAGUCAUCAAGUAUGGAAUAAACUAUACGUAAGAUGAAAGACAAGAUUGUACAGAAAACCAGAAUAAGGCUAAUGGAAUCAUAGGAACAGCAGUGAAAAUGGAAAGAUGGAAACAGGCAAACGUAAACGAAUAGAAUCGUGAUAAUGACAUAGCUAAUCUCAUCCCAACAAAACAUUGUACAAUCUCUGAAGCACAAUUGCACAAUGUACAAUACAAAAGUGUCACAGAACGUUAAAUUCAGUGUAAGCAGAUAUGAAAUCGAGCAAUGAUGCCUCUUUUUUUUUUUUUUUUUCCUAUCAAGGAUACGAGGAAAUUAUAGUAUGCCAUUGUCAAGAGAUAGAGCCAUUUCAAUAUAAGACAGAUUUCAAUUAAAACAAUAUCAUUGAGAUAUAACUGGAUAUCGAUUAUGAGAAAAAUGGUUUAUGGUUCUUGAACCACUAAUCUAAUUACAACUUUGUUCUUAACCUAAUUUUUUGCAACACUGUUGGAUUUGUUGUGUCCAGCCGCAUUUUCAUCAUUUCUUC
This 1327-nucleotide long non-coding RNA is filed under the name Olea europaea subsp. europaea. Lineage: Eukaryota; Viridiplantae; Streptophyta; Magnoliopsida; Lamiales; Oleaceae. The record is from RNAcentral.